This is a long non-coding RNA of Triticum aestivum (bread wheat), 541 nucleotides long. RefSeq lists it as uncharacterized. The record is from RefSeq and is a predicted model, not a curated record. NCBI's taxonomy places the organism in Eukaryota, Viridiplantae, Streptophyta, Magnoliopsida, Poales, Poaceae. The transcript has 3 exons.
CCAAAAUGGUGAAAGAAUAUUUGGGUACAGCAUAGGCCAGCUCCCCUCCACUCUCUACACAUACCAUUCAGCAUAGGCUCCGCUCCCUCCACUCUCUAGCAAGGAUUCGAACUGUGAGGGCUGUGACCUGUGAUAGGCGACGCAACAGAAGACCAGGGAAAAAGAAGGGUCAAGUUUCGUUGUGCAUCAUCGAUCAGGGUACUGCGAGAUGAACGGGGAUUGUGAGAACUGUGCUUUCUGGAGGAAUCAUUACUACUGGGAACACAUGGGUGACGAGAAGAAGCAAUUUUCUGCUGUAGCCAAAGGUGAUUUCAAGAACAACAUGCGUAUACCACGGGAACUUUCAACCAAUCUGAGGAGUAGGAUCUCUGACACCAUUAAACUCAGCGCUCCUAAUGGUAGGGCAUAUGAUAUUGUGGUGACCUGGGAAUCACUACAAAAAAAUACAAUUCUGUGAUGAUACGUGUUUGUCACAGUAGAUUGCGUUUUUGUCAUGCAUGUACAUUCAUGACAAAUUUAUGACAGAAUCAAGAUAGUCAUA